Molecule: ribosomal RNA, 975 nt
Filed under: uncultured bacterium
Lineage: Bacteria
Description: bacterial SSU rRNA
Rfam family: Bacterial small subunit ribosomal RNA
Source: RNAcentral
AGUACAGUGGCGGACGGGUGAGUAACGCGUAGGAAUCUACCUGGUAAUGGGGGAUAACUCGGGGAAACUCGAGCUAAUACCGCAUACGCUCUACGGAGGAAAGAGGGCCUCUAUUUAUAAGCUCUCGUUAUCAGAGGAGCCUGCGUUGGAUUAGCUAGUUGGUGAGGUAAAGGCUCACCAAGGCGACGAUCCAUAGCUGGUCUGAGAGGACGAUCAGCCACACUGGGGCUGAGAUACGGCCCAGACUCCUACGGGAGGCAGCAGCUAAGAAUCUUCCGCAAUGGACGAAAGUCUGACGGAGCGACGCCGCGUGGGCGAUGAAGGCCGAAAGGUUGUAAAGUCCUUUUCUGCCUGAGGAAUAAACUGGGGAGGGAAUGCCCUGGUGAUGACGGUAAGGCAGGAAUAAGCCCCGGCCAAUUACGUGCCAGCAGCCGCGGUAACACGUAUGGGGCGAGCGUUGUUCGGAAUUAUUGGGCGUAAAGGGCGCGUAGGCGGCUUUGCAAGCCUGGCGUGAAAGAUCACAGCUUAACUGUGGGCACGCGCUGGGAACUGCGAAGCUUGAGUUCUGGAGGGGGAGCUGGAAUUCCAGGUGUAGGGGUGAAAUCUGUAGAUAUCUGGAAGAACACCGGUGGCGAAGGCGAGCUCCUGGCCAUGAACUGACGCUGAGGCGCGAAGGCGUGGGGAGCGAACAGGAUUAGAUACCCUGGUAGUCCACGCCGUAAACGAUGUGCACUAGGUGUUGGGUCGUUAAGACUCAGUGCCGCAGCUAACGCGUUAAGUGCACCGCCUGGGGAGUAUGCCCGCAAGGGUGAAACUCAAAGGAAUUGACGGGGGCCCGCACAAGCGGUGGAGCAUGUGGUUUAAUUCGAUGAUACGCGAGGAACCUUACCAGGGCUUGACAUAUACUAGACGGUCGUAGAGAUACGGCUUCCCUUCGGGGCUGGUAUACAGGUGCUGCAUGGCUGUCGUCAGCUC